UACGUAGGGGGCGAGCGUUGUCCGGAAUGACUGGGCGUAAAGGGCGUGUAGGCGGUUUUUUAAGUCUGGAGUGAAAGUCCUGCUUUCAAGGUGGGAAUUGCUUUGGAGACUGGAGGACUAGAGUGCGGAAGAGGUAAGUGGAAUUACCAGUGUAGCGGUAAAAUGCGUAGAUAUUGGUAAGAACACCGGUGGCGAAGGCGACUUACUGGGCCGUAACUGACGCUGAGGCGCGAAAGCGUGGGGAGCGAAC
RNAcentral lists this ribosomal RNA (250 nucleotides) under uncultured prokaryote. RNAcentral's name for it is "partial 16S ribosomal RNA". It matches the Rfam family "Bacterial small subunit ribosomal RNA", at positions 524 to 773 of the family's 1533-position model. The record is from RNAcentral.